Long non-coding RNA from Chrysemys picta bellii (western painted turtle), 1447 nucleotides. RefSeq lists it as uncharacterized. Lineage: Eukaryota; Metazoa; Chordata; Testudines; Emydidae. The record is from RefSeq and is a predicted model, not a curated record.
GUUUGGGGACCUUGCUGAGUCUCCAGGCCAGGCUGAGAAAUUCCCCUGGUGUGGCCUCAUGCAGGAACAUGGGAGCCAUGCGGGGUCAAAGACACUGGUAUGUUAGAGGCUGGAGAAGCUAAUUUCAUGAGACCUGAAGCCAUGUGCCACCCACUGCCUCAGGAAUAGAGAGUGAGCUGGGAACCUACACCCCAGACCCAGAAGAAAGGGCAGAUUCUCUCCCCCGUGAAUGAGACUCUCUGGCCACCCCUCCAGCCCAGGCUGUCCACCUCUACCUCCCAGCAAUGUCUCCCUGAGGUGAAUCCCUCACAGCGCAGCACACAAGGAGACAAAUCAAAUCUCGGGAUGUUCAGGGUGGUUCAGCCGUAUGACGUCCCAGGUCAAAAUUUUCCGAACCACAGACAGGGGGAGCCAGGGAUGAGCCGUGUCUGGAUCCAGAGUCACACUCGCUGGGGAGAGAAGCAGAGCGCUUCAGGCAGAGCUCAGCCCCCACAGGAGAGCCUGGCCCCAAGGGAAGGUUCUCGGGGAAAGCCCCUCACCCAGGAGAAGGGGGAAAAGUGUGACAUUUCUGAGCAACCUCUCUGCUCCAUUUUCCUCAUUAAAUACAAAAAAGGAACCUGGGGUGGGAUUUUCAGGAACACCUAAGGGCACAAGGCCCAUUGGGACUUGACUUGUGCUACCGACUCUCUUAGAUGCUCCUGACAAUCCCACCCAGAAAUGUCCAUGAGCAGUGCCGGGGCAGAGUAAAGGGUGUUUGGGGGUCAGUCGGUGAGAUGGUUUCUGUGUAUUCCGGGUGUGUGAACUGGUUGCUCAGGCUGAUGUUGGGAUCUUUGGUGCACAAUGAAGCCAGGCCCCCACUCAGCUCGAUGGGACAUUUCUGCGCCUGUCACACGACGGCUUUGGAGAACAUCCGCUCAGUUCCGGACCCGAUGGGCCUGGUCGAGGCACAAACGGGUAGAACCCUGCUGACUUUGGGGACAAUCAGAAAACUGGAAAAGCCCAAUUUCCACUAAAGUCGGGUCCACAGAGGCCUAGGAUGAUGUGGGCAGAGGAAUCUCUCUGGCUCCCCCUGCUGAUGUCUAUAUGUAUGACAAGUAGCUGCUAGGAGGGUUCGCACACUGCAUUGCUUAUGUAGGCUGAGCUGUAUGACCAGCUGGGCCCUUCUCCCCUAAUACAACCCAUCACCACAGCCAGGCCCCUACCCUCACUAUGCACAGCCCCCCAGCCAGUCCCCCUAUCACUCCGAGCCAGUCCCCUCACUCCCACCUUGUCCCGAAUGCCCUCCAACCAUGCCCCUCGUCCCCAUUCUGAUCAGCCAUCACAGCCAUGCCCUUAAGCCCUGUCAUAACUAUAAAGGGAAGGGUAACAGCUCUCCUGUGUACAGUACUAUAAAAUCCCUCCUGGCCAGAGACUCCAAAAUCCUUUUCCCUGUAAAGGGUUAAGAAGC